UUUACUGAAAGCUGGCGACCGGCGCCACGGGUGCGUAACGCGUAUGCAACCUACCUUGUACUGGGGGAUAGCCCGGAGAAAUUCGGAUUAAUACCCCAUGGUACCACGAGACAACCUUGUUUUGUGUUUAAAGAUUUAUCGGUACAGGAUGGGCAUGCGUCUGAUUAGUUAGUUGGUGAGGUAACGGCUCACCAAGACGAUGAUCAGUAGGGGUUCUGAGAGGAUGAUCCCCCACACUGGAACUGAGACACGGUCCAGACUCCUACGGGAGGCAGCAGUAGGGAAUAUUGGUCAAUGGGCGAGAGCCUGAACCAGCCAUGCCGCGUGCAGGAAGACGGCCUUCUGGGUUGUAAACUGCUUUUAUCAGGGAACAAAUCGCCCAUGCGUGGGUAGUUGCGUGUACCUGAAGAAUAAGCACCGGCUAACUCCGUGCCAGCAGCCGCGGUAAUACGGAGGGUGCGAGCGUUGUCCGGAUUUAUUGGGUUUAAAGGGUGCGUAGGCGGGGUAUUAAGUCAGUGGUGAAAGCCUACAGCUUAACUGUAGAAUUGCCAUUGAUACUGGUAUCCUUGAGUACAGACGAGGUAGGCGGAAUUUAUGGUGUAUCGGUUCAAUGCAUAGAUUUCAU
This 625-nucleotide ribosomal RNA is filed under the name Bacteroidetes bacterium S923. RNAcentral describes it as "bacterial SSU rRNA". It matches the Rfam family "Bacterial small subunit ribosomal RNA", at positions 76 to 700 of the family's 1533-position model. Lineage: Bacteria; Pseudomonadati; Bacteroidota. The record is from RNAcentral.